Molecule: ribosomal RNA, 497 nt
Filed under: uncultured bacterium
Lineage: Bacteria
Description: partial 16S ribosomal RNA
Rfam family: Bacterial small subunit ribosomal RNA
Source: RNAcentral
GAUGAACGCUGGCGGCGUGCCUAAUACAUGCCAGUCGAGCGAACAGACGAGGAGCUUGCCCCUCUGACGUUAGCGGCGGACGGGUGAGUAACACGUGGAUAACCUACCUAUAAGACUGGGAUAACUUCGGGAAACCGGAGCUAAUACCGGAUAAUAUAUUGAACCGCAUGGUUCAAUAGUGAAAGACGGUUUUGCUGUCACUUAUAGAUGGAUCCGCGCCGCAUUAGCUAGUUGGUAAGGUAACGGCUUACCAAGGCAACGAUGCGUAGCCGACCUGAGAGGGUGAUCGGCCACACUGGAACUGAGACACGGUCCAGACUCCUACGGGAGGCAGCAGUAGGGAAUCUUCCGCAACGGGCGAAAGCCUGACGGAGCAACGCCGCGUGAGUGAUGAAGGUCUUCGGAUCGUAAAACUCUGUUAUUAGGGAAGAACAAAUGUGUAAGUAACUAUGCACGUCUUGACGGUACCUAAUCAGAAAGCCACGGCUAACUACGUG